UUCACUUUUAUUACUUGUGGGAAUCAUAAAAGUAAGAUUACUUGUUUGUACUGUUAUUAUUUUUUAAUUUUAGGAAAGCGUAAUGUCCAACAUUAGUUUGUAGGAAAGCUUGUCUACCCGCUUACUAAUGACCGUUUUAGGUUGUUCAGCAUUGUGGUUGUGCUCAUCCAUUCAUAUCUCUUAUGGUUUUUCAAUAUGUGUAGCCUCUAUAUUUAUAUUUGGCAUGUCUUAUUUAUAUCUUUCUUGUCACUGCCUAAUAAUCAUUUUGUUGCCACCUAAUAAUCAUUUUUAUUAUUUAAUUGGAGACAUGUAUAGCGGUGCUGCUGGUCUGGUGUCAUUGUUUGAAUUUUGGUGAAGAUUUGCAUACUUGCUGAUAAAUUAUAUUAAUUGAAUAAAAAAAAUCUAGCUGCAACCAUGAUUUGAAUCAGGCUUGUGUAUGAAAUAUAUAUGUAAUUGAUUUGCAUACGAAGGUUAAAAUCAACCAUGACUGCCUGCAUGUUUAUCCGUGUAUCUUUCGUUUGUUUCAAUCUUUAGUAAAUUACAGGAGAAGAUGGUAUGAACUAAGCUUUGUUGUUGUCCCCAUUGUUUACAGUUAGUUCUGGUAUUAUUGCCAAAGCCUUAAUGUUGAAAAUCAUAUAACUAUGUGGGAGAAUAUUUUAACUAAAUUCUUGUCUGACAUGUUUACGUUUUCAGCAUUGAAGGUACACAUGACCGCUACCAGCAUUUCGUUGGGUCCGGGAGGGAUCUAAAUGAAGGUGUAAGCACCAACUAUGUCAAAACUCACAGGAUGAAAAUGCAAGUAUAGAGUCCAACUUCUGGAGACUAUCCAAGAGACCAUCAAUGUAGACAGAGGAAAUGAGUAGAAUUGUUAAUGAGCUGGAUUCCAUCCAUUUAUCCAUUAAAAAGGCAUCACAAAUGGUGAAAGAAAUUGGUAGGCAGGUUGCAACUGAUCAAUGUAAUACAACAUCCUUUGUAUAGAAUGGGAGCAGUUCAAAAUUAUGAUUACAAAUGUGUCUUACUUGGAAAGAGUAGAGAGUUGGCCCUAGCCAUCGCAAUGAUUUCAUCUACACUAAUAUAAAAAGUACCAAGAAGUAUAUAUGUUUAAGUGCUCUGUGCAGGUUUAAAUUUCUUUAAUAGUCAAGAACAUGUAACCAAUCUAUGCAGGUUAAAUUUUUGCCCAAGCUACAUAGCUUGAUGGCCUGGUGCUGCAGGGUGUAUGACUUAAUUCUGAUUUGCUGGAUGUAAUUUGCUUGACUUCAAUAUUAAUUGGAUGUAUUUUUUUAAGUCCUACUAGGCACUUAUUCUUGAUUUAAUUAUUGAUUAUGCAUGAUCAACAGAAGAGGCUCUCUCAAAGCUUGAAUUCAUAAUUUUUAAGGAGAACGCACAUGAUAGAACCAUUGGAACUUAAAAGUUUCAGUGUAAGCAGAGAUUGGUUUUGAUGAGUAACUUUAUUAUGAAUGGAAAAAUUGUCCAAUAUCUUUGGAGCUUGCAGAAAGUUAAGAUUUCUUAAUAUUUUAGCUGCCACUUCAUGGUAGCUGCCACUUCAUGGUAACUUUAUUAUGAAUGAAAUCACAUAAUGCAGCCACAGAUAUUAGGCGGUGAUGCUGUUGCCAAAGACAGCCAUAGAGCCAUUGGUGGUAGGUCCUCUUAUGAGUAAGGUUGAAAAUAUGUGUUGUUACUAUCCACUUCCCUUCCCUGAUCCCUUCAAUUUGUUUUUCUUUGCAUCAUUUCUAAACUUUUUGGUUCUGCUUAUUUUAAGCUCUUGUGUUGAAGUCAAACAGAACACUAACGGGCCACAGCUAAGGUUGGAGGUAAUGUGCUCUUUGCAGGGAUUAGAGGAGGUGUCAGAUAAUAGCAUCAGAGGAUGACAUGUCAAUGAGGUAACAUGUUACCCAUGCUUUGUAUUUAUGAUCAGUGGUGCAUGCAUAAAUAAGAAAGCUACAUCUAUAUUCUCUCUUAAAUGCAAAGAAACCUUAAACUUUCUUUAAAAGGGGGGAAAAUGGGAUAUGCAUGUAUACCUAUUAACCCAUGGAGUAACAACUAAAAGGCGGUUUUUGUUCUACACCCUUUUGAUUUCCCUAGCCUCAAGCUCGUAGGAUUUGACCUAAAAAUCACAUUGUUAAUAUGUCUAUUAGCAAAUUAGGUUCAACUUGAUUAUGCAUCUAGGGUAGCUUAGCUAGUUUUUAUCACACUACAUCCAAGUUAGACAUCUUAUUAUGAUAUACCGUUAUUUUAGUAAAUCACAAUAAUCGUGUUUUGGUCUUACGGCCCUAAUCUCCAGCCAAAUCUCUCCACUAGGCUACAAGGGCUACU
Long non-coding RNA from Oryza brachyantha (malo sina), 2313 nucleotides. RefSeq lists it as uncharacterized. The transcript has 5 exons. Lineage: Eukaryota; Viridiplantae; Streptophyta; Magnoliopsida; Poales; Poaceae. The record is from RefSeq and is a predicted model, not a curated record.